This 1470-nucleotide ribosomal RNA is filed under the name metagenome. RNAcentral's name for it is "bacterial SSU rRNA". It matches the Rfam family "Bacterial small subunit ribosomal RNA". The record is from RNAcentral.
AGAGUUUGAUCCUGGCUCAGGACGAACGCUGGCGGCACGCUUAACACAUGCAAGUCGAACGAGAGAAGAGGAGCUUGCUUUUCUGAUCUAGUGGCGGACGGGUGAGUAACACGUGAGCAAUCUGCCUUUCAGAGGGGGAUACCGAUUGGAAACGAUCGUUAAUACCGCAUAACAUAAUUGAACCGCAUGAUUUGAUUAUCAAAGAUUUAUCGCUGAAAGAUGAGCUCGCGUCUGAUUAGCUGGUUGGUAAGGUAACGGCUUACCAAGGCGACGAUCAGUAGCCGGACUGAGAGGUUGAUCGGCCACAUUGGGACUGAGACACGGCCCAGACUCCUACGGGAGGCAGCAGUGGGGAAUAUUGCACAAUGGAGGAAACUCUGAUGCAGCGAUGCCGCGUGAGGGAAGAAGGUUUUAGGAUUGUAAACCUCUGUCUUCAGGGACGAAUAAAGACGGUACCUGAGGAGGAAGCUCCGGCUAACUACGUGCCAGCAGCCGCGGUAGUACGUAGGGAGCGAGCGUUGUCCGGAAUUACUGGGUGUAAAGGGAGCGUAGGCGGGAUCGCAAGUCAGAUGUGAAAACUAUGGGCUUAACCCAUAGACUGCAUUUGAAACUGUGGUUCUUGAGUGAAGUAGAGGUAAGCGGAAUUCCUAGUGUAGCGGUGAAAUGCGUAGAUAUUAGGAGGAACAUCAGUGGCGAAGGCGGCUUACUGGGCUUUAACUGACGCUGAGGCUCGAAAGCGUGGGGAGCAAACAGGAUUAGAUACCCUGGUAGUCCACGCCGUAAACGAUGAUUACUAGGUGUGGGGGGACUGACCCCUUCCGUGCCGCAGCAAACGCAAUAAGUAAUCCACCUGGGGAGUACGACCGCAAGGUUGAAACUCAAAGGAAUUGACGGGGGCCCGCACAAGCAGUGGAGUAUGUGGAUUAAUUCGAAGCAACGCGAAGAACCUUACCAGGUCUUGACAUCGUAUGCAUAGCUCAGAGAUGAGUGAAAUCUCUUCGGAGACAUAUAGACAGGUGGUGCAUGGUUGUCGUCAGCUCGUGUCGUGAGAUGUUGGGUUAAGUCCCGCAACGAGCGCAACCCUUACUGUUAGUUGCUACGCAAGAGCACUCUAGCAGGACUGCCGUUGACAAAACGGAGGAAGGUGGGGAUGACGUCAAAUCAUCAUGCCCCUUAUGACCUGGGCCUCACACGUACUACAAUGGCUGUCAACAGAGGGAAGCAAAGCCGCGAGGUGGAGCGAACCCCUAAAAGCAGUCUUAGUUCGGAUUGUAGGCUGCAACCCGCCUACAUGAAGUCGGAAUUGCUAGUAAUCGCAGAUCAGCAUGCUGCGGUGAAUACGUUCCCGGGCCUUGUACACACCGCCCGUCACGCCAUGGGAGUCGGUAACACCCGAAGCCUGUAGUCUAACCGCAAGGAGGACGCAGUCGAAGGUGGGAUUGAUGACUGGGGUGAAGUCGUAACAAGGUA